RNAcentral lists this ribosomal RNA (466 nucleotides) under uncultured bacterium. RNAcentral describes it as "partial 16S ribosomal RNA". It matches the Rfam family "Bacterial small subunit ribosomal RNA", at positions 28 to 507 of the family's 1533-position model. The record is from RNAcentral.
GACGAACGCUGGCGGCGUGCUUAACACAUGCAAGUCGAACGGAAAGGCCCAGCUUGCUGGGUACUCGAGUGGCGAACGGGUGAGUAACACGUGGGUGAUCUGCCCUGCACUCUGGGAUAAGCCUGGGAAACUGGGUCUAAUACCGGAUAUGACCGACUGUCGCAUGGUGGUUGGGGGAAAGCUUUUGCGGUGUGGGAUGGGCCCGCGGCCUAUCAGCUUGUUGGUGGGGUAAUGGCCUACCAAGGCGACGACGGGUAGCCGACCUGAGAGGGUGAUCGGCCACACUGGGACUGAGACACGGCCCAGACUCCUACGGGAGGCAGCAGUGGGGAAUAUUGCACAAUGGGCGCAAGCCUGAUGCAGCGACGCCGCGUGAGGGAUGACGGCCUUCGGGUUGUAAACCUCUUUCACCAGGGACGAAGCGUGAGUGACGGUACCUGGAGAAGAAGCACCGGCCAACUACGUG